GGAUUCUAACUCAUGAAACAAACAGACAAUGGCUACAAGUUAUCUUUCUCUGAGAAUGAAAAAAUAAUUUUGCUUUGUGAAAUACUAGGUCAAACCACCUAAUAAUACUACUUGGAGGGAUCAAAUAAGCUGGAAAUUAGCCUGAAGGAAAGAGAGCCCUGAUGGCUUCAGAGCUCAAAGAUUACAGUCAUCAAAUGCUGCCACAUCCUCCAGGGACCUCCCAGCUCGUUCACUACUGUGUAUAAUGGUGAAUGGCACUAAUUCUCCUCAGGGAGCAAUAGAAGAUUCCGGGGCAUUGCAGUAUGGGACACCUUUGGGAAAUGUGUCAAGGAGUAGAGAGUCUUAUCUAUUUGAUGCUACUAAAUUUGAUACAAAUAUUUCCUCUCUCCAAAUCCCCCCUUUCUCUUCCUAAAAUAAGUGCUUCUUCCGACUUCUAUCCAUCUCAGAUCCUCACUUUCCCUACUACCUCUCAGGGUCUGUCUUCUUUUGCACAUUGUGGAGGAGUCUUAGCCUAUCUGUUAUCUAUGCCCAUGCUCCCUCUACAUUCCUUAUUCAAACCCAAAACUCAUCUCUCCUUUGCCUUUCUCAUGUCAUUUGAGGUCCACACUCAUACACACAGCUACCCAGUCACUUACUCUACAGAGCUGAUUGGUAGCUGUAUUUACACCUUACUCAGAGAGCAAGGUUUUUACU
This 693-nucleotide long non-coding RNA is filed under the name Mus caroli (Ryukyu mouse). RNAcentral describes it as "predicted gene 15397 (MGP_CAROLIEiJ_G0034439.1)". Lineage: Eukaryota; Metazoa; Chordata; Mammalia; Rodentia; Muridae. The record is from RNAcentral.